AUGGGGGAUGUAGUGCAUAAACACACGCAGAUGCCGGCAUACUGUCGUUUCUGAGGUUCAUCCUUUUGUUCACUUUUUAAACUGUCUGACGUCGGAUCCCGCUGGAAGCUACACCGCUAAACACGAGGUUUAGCUGUUAUUUGUGUUGGAACUGAGAGACUUUAUGAGCCGAAUCAGAACAAGGAAACGAGGACGUUAGCCAAUUCUGAUUGGUCAGAUUGAUGACAUGUGAUCAAGCCUCCAAUAAUGAUUGGUGGAGACAGCUGAAGGGGGAGGGACAUUUCUGAAAAGAGAGUUUGCGGCUAGUUUUGCGGCUGGAUUGCGAACACAGCAUAAAAGGAAGCAAAGUCGGGGGAUUAAAGUGAAGGAGACAAGAAGGUAAAAUUGAUUGUGUAUUUGCUGAGAUGAGGUAGAUCCGAAGCUCUGCAAAUGCCAAGAAACCUCGGAGCCGCACAAGGGAGAAUUCUCAACUCUGUUGAUCUGAAAGCUUUUAGACGACAGAGCUCAAAGACCCUGACAGCAGUGACAUGGUGGCAGCUCAGCGUUUGAUCUUGAAGGACUUUUAACUAUUGGCUCCAUUUUCCUGCAACAUGUCAAGAUUUUGUAUUUUUGUUUAUAAUCCAGGAGGACAGAAGAAUCUGCUGAAUGAGUGGAAGUCGGUGGACUUUACUGGAACUUCAAACUGGAUGUGAAUAAUUCAAUUGAUGUGGGUUUCUGAGGCUGUGAAACGGAGCACAUACUUACCAUCCUGGCUUGGCGAGGAAGUUGUGUUGUCGGGGUUUCCGUUCUUCAUCCACAGUGUCGUUGACGGGUGUGGGGGGUUCUUUCGUGUCAUGGUCUGCUCUGUUUACCUGUUUCAUUCGUCAGGUUUUUGGGGUUUAUUUUAAUUAUAGUUAAAGUGAAUCUGCAGGGUUGUCCUGCUAUAUCCUCUACUCUUUAUUCUAGUCCAGGGAGCUGGAUGAGUGUUUGUCGUUUCAUUUAUUCACGUCAGACAGCUUUUGUUGGUUCAGAUAGUUUAUUUUUGUUUGUUGUUUUGGCCAUUGCUUCAGCCCGCAGCCUUUUUUUGCUUCGCCUGCUUUUGUUGUUAUGAAUUAUUGCUUGUGUUAAUAAAUCAGGCAUUUUAUUUUGCA
Molecule: long non-coding RNA, 1130 nt
Organism: Oryzias melastigma (Indian medaka)
Lineage: Eukaryota; Metazoa; Chordata; Actinopteri; Beloniformes; Adrianichthyidae
Exons: 7
Source: RefSeq, a predicted model, not a curated record